Molecule: ribosomal RNA, 247 nt
Filed under: Russula xerampelina
Lineage: Eukaryota; Fungi; Basidiomycota; Agaricomycetes; Russulales; Russulaceae
Description: partial large subunit ribosomal RNA
Rfam family: Bacterial large subunit ribosomal RNA
Source: RNAcentral
AUGGUAUAAUAAAAUCGGAGGCCACGACUGUUUACUAAAAACACAAUUCAGAGCAAUGAUUAAGAUAAUAGUAUUCUGAAUGAAAUUUGCUCAAUGCCAUUAAUAUAAGAGAGGUAAUUUUAAAGUUACUAAUUGAAAGUCUGGUUAAUAGCGGUCUUAACUAUGAGGAUCCUAAGGUAGCAAAAUAAAUUGGCCAUUAAAUGUGGUCUAGUAUCAAUAAUGUAACGAUGGUCUCACUGUCUCUACA